RNAcentral lists this ribosomal RNA (470 nucleotides) under Dendrolaelaps sp. NFS-2015. RNAcentral describes it as "SSU rRNA". It matches the Rfam family "Eukaryotic small subunit ribosomal RNA", at positions 557 to 1035 of the family's 1831-position model. The record is from RNAcentral. Lineage: Eukaryota; Metazoa; Arthropoda; Arachnida; Mesostigmata; Digamasellidae.
AAGUCUGGUGCCAGCAGCCGCGGUAAUUCCAGCUCCAAUAGCGUAUAUUAAAAUUGUUGCGUCUAAAAAGCUCGUAGUUUGAAAACUUGCCUUGACUUACAACAGGCCUGUAUGGGCCACCGUUUGUUGAGUGCAAAUAUGGAUGACUGUUUUUGCCGGCUUUACUGCUCGGCUUAUAAGAGUUAUCAAAUAUCACUUUGAUUAAAUUAGAGUGCUCAAAGCAAGUGUGUUACUUGGAUAUAAAUGCAUGGAAUGAUGGAAUAUGUUGUUGUUCUAUUUGUCGGUUUUUGAACGAUGAAAUGAUUGAAAGGAACCGUUGGGGGCAUUCGUAUUGUUGUGAGAGAGGUGAAAUUCUUAGACCACAGCAAGACGAACUACUGCGAAAGCAUUUGCCAAGAAUGUUUUCAUUGAUCAAGAACGAAAGUUAGAGGUUCGAAGGCGAUCAGAUACCGCCCUAGUUCUAACCAUAA